This 253-nucleotide ribosomal RNA is filed under the name uncultured bacterium. Its description in RNAcentral is "partial 16S ribosomal RNA". It matches the Rfam family "Bacterial small subunit ribosomal RNA", at positions 524 to 776 of the family's 1533-position model. The record is from RNAcentral.
UUCGGAGGGGGCUAGCGUUAUUCGGAAUUACUGGGCGUAAAGCGCAUGUAGGCGGACUGGAAAGUUGGGGGUGAAAGCCCAGGGCUCAACCCUGGAACUGCCUUCAAAACUCCCAGUCUUGAGGUCGAGAGAGGUGAGUGGAAUUCCGAGUGUAGAGGUGAAAUUCGUAGAUAUUCGGAGGAACACCAGUGGCGAAGGCGGCUCACUGGCUCGAUACUGACGCUGAGGUGCGAAAGCGUGGGGAGCAAACAGG